RNAcentral lists this ribosomal RNA (248 nucleotides) under uncultured bacterium. RNAcentral describes it as "partial 16S ribosomal RNA". It matches the Rfam family "Bacterial small subunit ribosomal RNA", at positions 107 to 353 of the family's 1533-position model. The record is from RNAcentral.
UGAGUAACGCGUGAGUAACCUGCCUUCAAGAGGGGGAUAACAUUCUGAAAAGAAUGCUAAUACCGCAUGACAUAUCGGAACCACAUGGUUUUGAUAUCAAAGAUUUUAUCGCUGAAGAUGGACUCGCGUCCGAUUAGUUAGUUGGUGAGGUAACGGCUCACCAAGACCGCGAUCGGUAGCCGGACUGAGAGGUUGAACGGCCACAUUGGGACUGAGACACGGCCCAGACUCCUACGGGAGGCAGCAUG